Molecule: long non-coding RNA, 5245 nt
Organism: Marmota monax (woodchuck)
Lineage: Eukaryota; Metazoa; Chordata; Mammalia; Rodentia; Sciuridae
Exons: 4
Source: RefSeq, a predicted model, not a curated record
CUCUGUGCUCGGAGGGGCCUCACACUUCGUGUAAUGCUCUGCUGUCAUCAUGUUGACAUUCUAAGUCAUUUCUGGACAAAGGACUCAUAAAUGAUGUGGCUUGUUCUGCUCUGGCCACCGUCUUCAUCUCAACCUUCUUCGUUCAUGUUCCUGGGGACAAUGAAUCACCCUUGGCAUCGGGAAAGCAAGGCAUUACAAGCUUUUGGAUAGAUCACAGGAACAAGCGUGAGGCUAUGAGUUACCUUUGGGGGGGUUCAUGCAGAUUUGAAGAGCAAAGGGAAGACCCUGAACACCUGAACUGAUCUCGAUUUGAAAAACUCAAACUAAGAAGUAAGAACAAGAUGCCAGUGUUGGGCAUCAUUUCUCCAACGCUUCAUUAGCCCACAAGGAAAAUGUAGUAUGGAAAAGGUCUGAAAACCUAGGUGAAGUUGCCAUAUCACCAGGGGGGACAUGUGUGAGCCUCAGCAAGGAUGCAAUACAGUGAGGAAAAUAGGUUUUUCCUCACUCCAGCACCUCGUUGUGAUGAGGCAGUGUGAGCCUUUACCACAGCUCAUCAUCUCUACAACAGCUCUGCAAGGCAGACAGCGCUGUCCGGCUCCAGCUGGCUGCCCCCACAGAAUUGUCACAUGCCAUAGGUCUCUUGGAUCUGCAUCAACAACCGGCUUGUGUCUGAGACACGCUCUGCCAUCCGCUCCUUUGACAACUCCAAGAGUGAUGAAAACCCUCCAAGCUUAAGAAUUGAGCGUUUUUAAUUCAUUUGUCACAAGAUAAAUGUGUUGCCUGUGUGCUCUGAACCAAAUCCUGAUGUGUUUCUUGGGAUGAAGAAAACAUACAUUUAAAAAAUCUGAUUGACAAUAACAACUUCUUAAUAAGCAGAGGGGGAAAAAAGGUGAAAAUGGAAGAUUAACCAUUUCUCACCACCCCCAGAAGGCAAUCUGUGUGUGCUAGAGGGCUUUAGUUGACUUCUCUUAGAAGCUCCUGAGGGAGAAGAAGGCAGCCCUUGACAUCCGGAGCUGGCCUGGCAUUUCUGGCUGGACCUUGGUGUUCUUCUGUUGAACAAUUUCCUGCAUCAACAUGAGGCAAGGACACUCUGUGACCAUUAUGGAUCAAAAAAGAAGACUAUUUCAUAAUCACUUCUGAACACUGAUAAAAUAUGAACAAUGUCCAAGCCACAGAAUACCAAGCAUCCCUCCAUCCUGGCUAGUAGGACUGAUGGUCUCAGCCUUGCCCAGUUUGCUCUCCCUCCAGGGCCAACCAUCUUUCCACCUAAAAUAGCAAUGUGCAGCCAAUUUCUUCGUGAGGCCUGACCUGCCAAGUGAUAACUCCCCACAAGCAUCCAGUCCUGGAACUAGCAGUGACCUUGCAGAGGAUGGACAUCUUACUGUGACACCAUGAAGAACCAGCUUCAGAAUCUUAGGAGGACACUACAUAUCCCCGCAUUAAGCCCGAUUAGAAGCACACAGACACCUGUUCCUUCCUGGCUCCUUGGGAGAUAGUUUCUACCCUUGGUGUACUGGCAUUUUAGGAACCACUGAAACUCACCUUUAACACUGUUUAUUUUUAGUGUCCUGCAUUUAUAUUUAGAAGGGAAGAUCUGUCAGGCUUCCAGGAUCAUCAUUCCUGCAAUUUUUGCUGGAGCACGGGGACACCACGAGGAGGGAAAUUUAGUCAUGCAUGUAAUGCCCCCAUUUAUUUCCUGGAACUAGUGACCCAGCACAGGCACAUGUACCAAACCUACAAGGAGAGAGUGGGCUGACCUUCAGUUGCUUAGACCUGGCCAUUCACCAACACUUCCAAGUUAGGACAGGCCUGCUAAUGGACUUGGAAGUUUUCUAAGAGAAAGAACAGGUAGAAAUUUGUGAGGAUCAAGAGAGGCUGCUUGCUAGCCUGGCAAGGUGGCACACAUCUGUGAUCCCAGAUACACAGGAAGCUGAGGCAGGAGGAUUGCAAGUUCAAGGCCAGCCUGGGAAACUUAGCAAGACAGUCUUUAAAUAAAUAAAUAAAUAAAUAAAUAGGUCAGGGUAUGCAGCUCAAUGGUAGAGUGUCCCUGGGCCCAAUCCCUAGCACUGCACACAAAAAAUAAAAAUCAGAAAAAACUCAAAAGGAGAGAGAGCAAUGCUUGCAAAAAAGCAGGUAAAAUUACUUCCAUCCUGCAAUCUUGCCCCUCUUUUCCUUUUAGUUCCUACAAAAUGUGUUCCUGUGCAUUUAAAUUUUUAAAAAACAAGUGCUAUAUAUAUUAAUAUAAAAUUUUGAAGGAAGAAUUGAUACAACAUAUCAUAAGGACCUAUAUUUCUAAUGUUUGAAACGCUCUUAAGCAUCAAGUAAUAAAGGGCCAAAAAACCCUGUAGGAAAAAAAUGAUUAAGAUAAUUUUUAAAGAGAUGUAAAUAUGCCUUUAAACAUAUUAAAAGAUGCUCAAAUUCAUAAUUAAGGAAAUGAAACUUAAAAUUCCAUCUUUAAAAAAUGCUAUACCAUUUCUCAUCUAUAAAAUUUGUAAAAUUUCAAAAAGCAUGACAGAUGACAGCAGUGUCUUGCUGAGACUGUAGGAAACAGGCAUUUUCAUACACUGUGGUGGCAAAUUGGUAGACCCUGGAUGGAGGCAAGAUCAAAGUUCCCUGUGUACUUAUUUUCAAUCCAGAAAUCCCCCAAAUUUAGGAAUAUACCCUGAAGAUAUUCCCAAGAGCAGAAAAAUACCUUUUCAUAAGUUUAUUUAUCCCAGUAUUAUUUUCAAAUACAAAGUAUGGAAAACAAUCUAAAUGCUCAUGCAUAGGAGAUUAUCGGAAUACACUAAGAAAGUCACAUACUGGAGUGCUAUUCAGUUAUAUAAAUAAAUGUGGGAGAUCUCAAUGAUCUGAUAUGGAGAUAGUUCCAGAAUACAUUGUUAAAUGGAAAAAAGUGCAAAUGAGUACCCAGUAUGUUACCUUUCAUGUAGGAAAGGAGGAGCAAAAGUAUAUACAUACAUUUGCUCAGUUUCACACAAAUUAAUACAGGGAGAAUAAGCCUGAAACUGAGAUUGGCUCCCUAGAAGGAAGUCAGGAACAAAAUAGAUAAAAAGAAGGAAUGGAAUACAGGACAAGGGGUAUGCCUUUCUAUAAGGGUCUGACUUUCAGAGUUAUAAUGAUGUUGCACAUACUAAAAAGAAAAGGAAAUCAAUAAUUAAAUAAAAAUCAUUCUGGAGAUCCAUAAAAUAAAAUAUAAAUAACAACAAAUGAACCCAACUGGAUUACAAAUGGAUAGCAGAACCAUAGUGCAGAAGGUAGGAAGGAGAGAAGUAGGUAAUUCUAGAAACAGUAUCUUGGCUACAUUUAGUAAGACUAAAGUAAAAGUAUAGCUGAAUACAAAUGGUAUAUACUCUAGUCUGUAAUUUUACUUUUUAUGGAGAUAUUGAUUAGCAAUUCUGAAGCUAUUUUGGGUAUUCUAGGAUUGAGCAAAUAAGUAAUAUGGAUGAUGAAAGCCAAUUUUCUCAUUCUAAUAGAAAGGAAUUGUAGAUAAGAAUAGCUGAAAAGAAAACAGAAUUGGUGUUGUGGGUUUAGAUUAGAGAUGCUGAUAUAAAUUUAUGAUCAAUAUGAACUGUGUAUGUAUAUCUCCAUACACAUAUGUCUAUAUUCUUAGCUCUGUCUGCUCUAAGGGACUUAAAGCAAUCACGUUCCAGUACCAAAGAACAUAUUUACUGAUUAAAUAUUGGUUUAUAAAUAAUGUUUGCUUAUGACAAGAACCAAGGAUCUUUGGAGAAAUGGCAGAUUCCAGGUAUGGGCAGGAAGAAUAUAAGAACCAGGAAUAUCUUGUGGUGCCAUGAAGUGAGGAAGUACUCAAAAUAUGAUUGGGACAUGUGAAAAGGACAUACAGGUCAAAUUCAAGGGUCUCCCAAUGGUCAACCGUGUGAUAAUCUGACUAACAAAAUAUCUGUCAACAAUAAUAGAUUAUAACAAACAGAAUAAAAUAAAUAUCCAUGAGUCCCUAGUGAUACCAUUAAAUAAAUAAGUUUUUAAAAUGGAGGAGAGACAGCUUUCGCUCGUAGUAGAAUUUAAUCCACAAGGGUAGAGGAUGAUGAAACUAGAAAUUACUAACUGGGAAGCAAUUAGUAAUUAAUAUUAUAGGCAAGAAUCAUCAAUAGGAGUUAAAAUUAAAUUAAAUGUUAUAAAUUAUUAAAUGUUAGAGGCAAGAAUCAUCACUAGGGGUUAAAAUUACUACCAUAAAUAUGCUGAGAAAAAAAUAUUUGCCUGGUUUCUAUGUGUCUCCCCACAAUGGAGAAAAAGAAUAACUUCAAAGAAAAGAAACCCCAAUCUUAACCAGGCAAUCAAAGUUGAGAUCACCAAUAUGGAGACACCACAACAUCAGAUUUCUCCUGAUGUGCUGUGCUGCUUCUGUGGGGUUCAUGCCAAAAAUAUGUUACCUGAGUGUCUUCAGAAGGAAACAUCAGAUAAGCCUCCAAAUGCAUGCAUCCCACACAAUAGCAGGAAGGGUACCCAUCAAGGUCAUGAAAGACCAGAAAAACUGAGGACCAGCUGAGAUUGGAAGAUAGUAAAGUGAUAUGAAAACUUUAUCUUGGAACAGGAAAAGGACAACUAAUGAUACAACCAGAGACAUUUGAGAAGGUCUAUACACAGCUAAUAGCAUCAUAUUAAGGUUAGCUUCCUAUAAUGUGGUGAUAUAAGGUGUUAGCCUUUGAAAGAUACAAUGUCUUACAUAUUUUUUGUAACUUUUUUCUAAGUUCUAAAUUUUUUCAAAGUGAAGAGUUGAAAACAUUUUAGUUAAUUAAUUGAUUAAUUUUGAAAGGAAGAAAAGGGUACGUAAUGCCCUCACCAACAUACUCUCCAGGAAUCAGUUUUAUUCUAGCACAUAGUUCUUAAUAGUUUCUCAUAUAUCCUUCCAUAGAUUUUUCUACACAAAUAAAUACAAGUAUAUUCAUCAUAUAUGUUUAGGCAUAUACGUACUAGAGAGCCUCCAAUGAAAGUAUACAUUGUUAUUUUAAUGACUACAUUAUAUUAUAUAGAUAACCUGUGUCACCUGUUUUAAUUUCAUCAGUAAUUGACAUGAUAUUUCUAAUAUUUUGCUAUUAUGAACAAUAUUGUCAUGAAUGCUUCAUUUCCUAUAUAUACUUGUAUUUACAGUAAAAAUGCUUGGAAUUAAAAUUUCUGGUUUAAAAUGUAUAAAGAUUUUUAUUUUUAUUGACAAACUUACCUGUAGAGAAAGAAAUGCCUAUUCUUCACAUUCUCAUCAACACAGUAUAUGAAAUUGUCUUGGCCA